This 504-nucleotide ribosomal RNA is filed under the name uncultured bacterium. RNAcentral's name for it is "partial 16S ribosomal RNA". It matches the Rfam family "Bacterial small subunit ribosomal RNA", at positions 30 to 523 of the family's 1533-position model. The record is from RNAcentral.
AUUGAACGCUGGCGGCAGGCCUAACACAUGCAAGUCGAACGGUAGCACAGAGAGCUUGCUCUCGGGUGACGAGUGGCGGACGGGUGAGUAAUGUUUGGGAAACUGCCCGAUGGAGGGGGAUGACUACUGGAAACGGUAGCUAAUACCGCAUAACGUCUUCGGACCAAAGUGGGGGACCUUCGGGCCUCACACCAUCGGAUGUGCCCAGAUGGGAUUAGCUAGUAGGUGGGGUAAUGGCUCACCUAGGCGACGAUCCCUAGCUGGUCUGAGAGGAGGACCAGCCACACUGGAACUGAGACACGGUCCAGACUCCUACGGGAGGGAGCAGUGGGGAAUAUUGCACAAUGGGCGCAAGCCUGAUGCAGCCAUGCCGCGUGUAUGAAGAAGGCCUUCGGGUUGUAAAGUACUUUCAGCGGGGAGGAAGGCGAUGGAGUUAGUAGCUUCAUCGAUUGACGUUACCCGCAGAAGAAGCACCGGCUAACUCCGUGCCAGCCGCCGCGGUAA